Molecule: ribosomal RNA, 301 nt
Filed under: uncultured bacterium
Lineage: Bacteria
Description: partial 16S ribosomal RNA
Rfam family: Bacterial small subunit ribosomal RNA
Source: RNAcentral
CAGCAGCCGCGGGAAUACGUAUGUCACAAGCGUUAUCCGGAUUUAUUGGGCGUAAAGCGCGUCUAGGUGGUUAUGUAAGUCUGAUGUGAAAAUGCAGGGCUCAACUCUGUAUUGCGUUGGAAACUGUGUAACUAGAGUACUGGAGAGGUAAGCGGAACUACAAGUGUAGAGGCGAAAUUCGUAGAUAUUUGUAGGAAUGCCGAUGGGGAAGCCAGCUUACUGGACAGAUACUGACGCUAAAGCGCGAAAGCGUGGGUAGCAAACAGGAUUAGAUACCCCAGUAGUCCCUGUCUCUUAUACA